AUGGAGCUGGUUGGAGAAGAUGAGGUAGUAUCUGAUGAAGAAACAGAAGAUCAUGACAUUGUGUUUGAAUCUGAGCAACUAAAUCUGGAGGUGCAAUACGACUCAAACUUCCCUGCUUUGAGAGCUGCCAAUGAAAGCAAGAAAUGGGGGCCGGUUCAGGCGGCUAGAAUGAGCUCUAGGAUUGCUGGGGACAAAAGAACCAUCAUGGAAAAAGCCCAACAACUUAAGAAGGUUCAGAACCUGGAGGUCCACAAAACUCAUGAUGCCGGAGCCCAGGAACCAGACGCCACCGUCGACGACGACUCCUACUACACCGGAGGUGCCUACUACUACGUGCAGGCCGCUGACGACGACCAGGAGUAG
RNAcentral lists this ribosomal RNA (363 nucleotides) under Triticum aestivum (bread wheat). Its description in RNAcentral is "partial small subunit ribosomal RNA". Lineage: Eukaryota; Viridiplantae; Streptophyta; Magnoliopsida; Poales; Poaceae. The record is from RNAcentral.